GAUGAACGCUAGCGGGAGGCUUAACACAUGCAAGUCGAGGGGUAUAGUAGCAAUACUAGAGACCGGCGCACGGGUGAGUAACGCGUAUGCAACCUGCCCUUUACAGGAGGAUAGCCCGCUGAAAGGCGGAUUAAUACUGCAUAAUAUGGUACAAUCGCAUGGUUGAACUAUAAAAGCUGAGGCGGUAAAGGAUGGGCAUGCGUGACAUUAGCUAGUUGGCGGGGUAACGGCCCACCAAGGCUACGAUGUCUAGGGGUUCUGAGAGGAAGGUCCCCCACACUGGUACUGAGACACGGACCAGACUCCUACGGGAGGCAG
RNAcentral lists this ribosomal RNA (318 nucleotides) under uncultured Bacteroidota bacterium. Its description in RNAcentral is "bacterial SSU rRNA". It matches the Rfam family "Bacterial small subunit ribosomal RNA", at positions 28 to 351 of the family's 1533-position model. Lineage: Bacteria; Pseudomonadati; Bacteroidota. The record is from RNAcentral.